This 609-nucleotide ribosomal RNA is filed under the name uncultured Thermoproteus sp. RNAcentral's name for it is "bacterial SSU rRNA". It matches the Rfam family "Archaeal small subunit ribosomal RNA", at positions 21 to 611 of the family's 1478-position model. The record is from RNAcentral. Lineage: Archaea; Thermoproteati; Thermoproteota; Thermoprotei; Thermoproteales; Thermoproteaceae.
CCCGACCGCUAUCGGGGUAGGGCUAAGCCAUGCGAGUCGCGCGCCCGGGGGCGCCCGGGAGCGGCGCACGGCUCAGUAACACGUGCCCAACCUACCCUCGGGAGGGGGACACCCCCGGGAAACUGGGGCCAAUCCCCCAUAGGGGAAGGGCGCUGGAAGGCCCCCUCCCCGAAAGGACGGCGGCCGAUCCGCCGCCGCCCGCCCGAGGAUGGGGGCACGGCCCAUCAGGUAGUUGGCGGGUUAAAGGCCCGCCAAGCCGAAGACGGGUAGGGGCGGUGAGAGCCGCGAGCCCCGAGAUCGGCACUGAGACAAGGGCCGAGGCCCUACGGGGUGCAGCAGGCGCGAAUACUCCGCAAUGCGGGCAACCGCGACGGGGCUACCCCGAGUGCCGGGCGAAGAGCCCGGCUUUUGCCCGGUCUAAAACGCCGGGAGAAUAAGCGGGGGGCAAGUCUGGUGUCAGCCGCCGCGGUAAUACCAGCUCCGCGAGUGGUCGGGGUGUUUACUGGGCUUAAAGCGCCCGUAGCCGGCCCGGCAAGUCGCUCCUGAAAUCCCAGGGCUCAACCCUGGGGCAGGGGGCGAUACUGCCGGGCUAGGGGGCGGAAGAGGCCG